AAUGAACGCUGGCGGCAGGCCUAACACAUGCAAGUCGAACGGAUCCUUCGGGAUUAGUGGCGGACGGGUGAGUAACGCGUGGGAACAUACCCUUUGGUACGGAAUAGCCUCGGGAAACUGGGAGUAAUACCGUAUGUGGUCGAGAGACGAAAGAUUUAUCGCCAAAGGAUUGGCCCGCGUUGGAUUAGGUAGUUGGUGGGGUAAUGGCCUACCAAGCCGACGAUCCAUAGCUGGUUUGAGAGGAUGAUCAGCCACACUGGGACUGAGUCACGGCCCAGACUCCUACGGGAGGCAGCAGUGGGGAAUCUUAGACAAUGGGGGAAACCCUGAUCUAGCCAUGCCGCGUGAUCGAUGAAGGCCUUAAGGUUGUAAAGAUCUUUCAGGUGGGAAGAUAAUGACUGUACCACCAGAAGAAGCCCCGGCUAACUCCGUGCCAGCCGCCGCGGUAA
Molecule: ribosomal RNA, 449 nt
Filed under: uncultured bacterium
Lineage: Bacteria
Description: partial 16S ribosomal RNA
Rfam family: Bacterial small subunit ribosomal RNA
Source: RNAcentral